RNAcentral lists this ribosomal RNA (1620 nucleotides) under Meloidogyne javanica (root-knot nematode). RNAcentral's name for it is "SSU rRNA". It matches the Rfam family "Eukaryotic small subunit ribosomal RNA". The record is from RNAcentral. Lineage: Eukaryota; Metazoa; Nematoda; Chromadorea; Rhabditida; Meloidogynidae.
AGAACCGCGAACGGCUCAUUACAAUGGCCAUUAUUUACUUGAUCUUGAUUGUCUAAAUGGAUAACUGUGGAAAAGCUAGAGCUAAUACAUGCACUAAAGCUUUGUCCUUACGGAAAAGCGCAUUUAUUAGAACAAAACCACGCGGCUUCGGCUGCUUCUUGUUGACUCAGAAUAACUUAGCUGACCGCAUGGCCUUGUGCCGGCGGCGUGUCUUUCAAGCGUCCACUUUAUCAACUUGACGGGAGCAUAAUCGACUCCCGUGGUGGUGACGGAUAACGGAGGAUCAGGGUUCGACUCCGGAGAAGGGGCCUGAGAAAUGGCCACUACGUCUAAGGAUGGCAGCAGGCGCGCAAAUUACCCACUCUCGGCUCGAGGAGGUAGUGACGAGAAAUAACGAGACUGUUCUCUUUGAGGCCGGUCAUCGGAAUGGGUACAAUUUAAACCCUUUAACGAGUAUCAAGCAGAGGGCAAGUCUGGUGCCAGCAGCCGCGGUAAUUCCAGCUCUGCAAAUACAUAGAAUUAUUGCUGCGGUUAGAAAGCUCAUAGUUGGAUUCGUAUCGAUACCUUGGAACCCUUCGGGUGUCUCUAGGUGUUAUCGAUUUAUCGUAAUGUUCGGUUUUGAGUCCUUAACAGGAUUCUUAACAGGCAUUGCAAGUUUACUUUGAACAAAUCAGAGUGCUUCAAACAGGCGUUUUCGCUUGAAUGAUCGUGCAUGGAAUAAUAGAAAAUGAUUUCGGUUCAGUUUUAUUGGUUUUACGGACUGAGAUAAUGGUUAACAGAGACAAACGGGGGCAUUUGUAUGGUCCCGUGAGAGGUGAAAUUCUUGGACCGUGGCCAGACAAACUACAGCGAAAGCAUUUGCCAAGAAUGUUUUUAUUAAUCAAGAACGAAAGUCAGAGGUUCGAAGGCGAUCAGAUACCGCCCUAGUUCUGACCGUAAACGAUGCCAACUAGCGAUCCGCCGAUGGAAAUUAUAUUGCCUUGGUGGGGAGCUUCCCGGAAACGAAAGUCUUCCGGUUCCGGGGGAAGUAUGGUUGCAAAGCUGAAACUUAAAGGAAUUGACGGAAGGGCACCACCAGGAGUGGAGCCUGCGGCUUAAUUUGACUCAACACGGGGAAACUCACCCGGCCCGGACACUGUGAGGAUUGACAGAUUGAUAGCUUUUUCAUGAUUCAGUGGAUGGUGGUGCAUGGCCGUUCUUAGUUCGUGGAGUGAUUUGUCUGGUUUAUUCCGAUAACGAGCGAGACUCUAACCUACUAAAUAGUUGGUACAUACUCUUAGUGUAUACAGCUUCUUAGAGGGAUUUGCGGCGUUCAGCCGAAAGAAAUUGAGCAAUAACAGGUCUGUGAUGCCCUUAGAUGUCCGGGGCUGCACGCGCGCUACACUGGCAAAAUCAACGUGCUUGUCCUACCCUGAAAGGGGCGGGUAAACCAUUGAAAAUUUGCCGUGAUUGGGAUCGGAAAUUGCAAUUAUUUUCCGUGAACGAGGAAUUCCAAGUAAGUGCGAGUCAUCAGCUCGCGUUGAUUACGUCCCUGCCCUUUGUACACACCGCCCGUCGCUGCCCGGGACUGAGCCAUUUCGAGAAAUUUGGGGACCGUUGAUUUAAUUUUUCUAAAUUACU